GAUCCUGGCUCAGGAUGAACGCUAGCUACAGGCUUAACACAUGCAAGUCGAGGGGCAGCAUUUCAGUUUGCUCGCAAACUGGAGAUGGCGACCGGCGCACGGGUGAGUAACACGUAUCCAACCUGCCGAUAACUCGGGGAUAGCCUUUCGAAAGAAAGAUUAAUACCCGAUGGCAUAAUUAGACCGCAUGGUCUUAUUAUUAAAGAAUUUCGGUUAUCGAUGGGGAUGCGUUCCAUUAGG
This 240-nucleotide ribosomal RNA is filed under the name uncultured bacterium. Its description in RNAcentral is "partial 16S ribosomal RNA". It matches the Rfam family "Bacterial small subunit ribosomal RNA", at positions 15 to 245 of the family's 1533-position model. The record is from RNAcentral.